GACGAACGCUGGCGGCGUGCUUAACACAUGCAAGUCGAACGGAAAGGCCCUGCUUUUGUGGGGUGCUCGAGUGGCGAACGGGUGAGUAACACGUGAGUAACCUGCCCUCGACUUUGGGAUAACUUCAGGAAACUGGGGUUAAUACCGGAUAGGAGCUCCUGCUGCAUGGUGGGGGUUGGAAAGUUUCGGCGGUUGGGGAUGGACUCGCGGCUUAUCAGCUUGUUGGUGGGGUAGUGGCUUACCAAGGCUUUGACGGGUAGCCGGCCUGAGAGGGUGACCGGCCACAUUGGGACUGAGAUACGGCCCAGACUCCUACGGGAGGCAGCAGUGGGGAAUAUUGCACAAUGGGCGGAAGCCUGAUGCAGCAACGCCGCGUGCGGGAUGACGGCCUUCGGGUUGUAAACCGCUUUCGCCUGUGACGAAGCGUGAGUGACGGUAAUGGGUAAAGAAGCACCGGCUAACUACGUG
This 468-nucleotide ribosomal RNA is filed under the name uncultured bacterium. RNAcentral describes it as "partial 16S ribosomal RNA". It matches the Rfam family "Bacterial small subunit ribosomal RNA", at positions 28 to 507 of the family's 1533-position model. The record is from RNAcentral.